Molecule: long non-coding RNA, 356 nt
Filed under: Chinchilla lanigera (long-tailed chinchilla)
Lineage: Eukaryota; Metazoa; Chordata; Mammalia; Rodentia; Chinchillidae
Description: lncRNA (ENSCLAG00000025614.1)
Source: RNAcentral
CAGAGAAGGAGCCAGGCUGCCACCCCAGAGCUGGUCAGGGCAGAGCCCAGCAGGGCAUGACUGGCGAGAAGGGCGAGGGUAGGAACAGCAGGCCAGUGACCCAGACAUGCAUGGCUGUGACCUUCAGGAGCCCAUGGGCCCAAGAGAUACAUAGGAUCUGCACCCAGAAAACUGUAAGCCAGGCAGAACUGCACUCCCACCUCUGCUGUUGGGCUUCAUCCCGCAUCACCUGGGGCAAGGGAGGGCCCAGAGUUCCACAUUUUCCCACCAGCUGGCUCUGGGAGGAAGCUGCUGCUGCUGGGAGGGGACAUCCAUGAGGACAAGCAGGGCUUGUCCCUUCCCACCUGGACAGAACG